This 481-nucleotide ribosomal RNA is filed under the name Paraheterorhabdus illgi. Its description in RNAcentral is "partial 12S ribosomal RNA". The record is from RNAcentral. Lineage: Eukaryota; Metazoa; Arthropoda; Copepoda; Calanoida; Heterorhabdidae.
CCCUCAAUAAAUUUUAUUUGAAAAAAUAAUUUAAUAAAUUAGCUGAUUAAAGAAUAAAUUUGGUCAUAUAAACUUAUUUUUAUUUAGAGCUUGCUUUUUAGAAAAAAUUGAAAUAAACCAGGGAUAGACGCCUGUUAUUCUUUUAUAAAAUUAAUUUUAGGAGUAAAAGAGGAGUCUCUAAAUUAAAAUAAAAUGGCGGUAUUUCUAUCCCAGGCGGGGGAGCGUGAUUAUUUAUAGAUAUUCCUCUCAUAUCUUACUAAUUUUUAUUUUUUGUGUGGUUGUUUUGUAAAAAGGUUUACAUACUAAUUUUAUUUCAGAUAACAUGAAAAAAUAAAUUAGGUUAAUUUAGCUACAGUAAUAAAAUAAAUAAUUUAACAUGUUAAUAAAAUACCACUAUAGGACUCGCUAGUAAAAUUAAAUAAAUAAAUUUUUUUGAAAUGGUUAUAGUUUAUGUACAUAUCGUCCGUCACUCUCAUUUAAC